CGCGGGAUGGAGCAGUGGUAGCUCGUUGGGCUCAUAACCCAAAGGUCGUCGGUUCGAGUCCGGCUCCCGCAA
RNAcentral lists this transfer RNA (72 nucleotides) under Bacteroidales bacterium. RNAcentral describes it as "tRNA-Met". It matches the Rfam family "tRNA". Rfam says of the family: Transfer RNA (tRNA) molecules are approximately 80 nucleotides in length. Their secondary structure includes four short double-helical elements and three loops (D, anti-codon, and T loops). Lineage: Bacteria; Pseudomonadati; Bacteroidota; Bacteroidia; Bacteroidales. The record is from RNAcentral. RNAcentral also lists the same sequence under 1 other name.